Molecule: long non-coding RNA, 4031 nt
Organism: Pongo pygmaeus (Bornean orangutan)
Lineage: Eukaryota; Metazoa; Chordata; Mammalia; Primates; Hominidae
Exons: 3
Source: RefSeq, a predicted model, not a curated record
AGAGGAUGGCCUCACAGGCUUCUGUCAAGACUUUGGCUUUUACCCUGAGUAGACUAAGGAGCUACUGAGGGCUCUGUGAGGAACUGGGCUGUCUAAAUGCUGCUUGCUCUGACUUCUGUGUCAAAAACAAAUGGUAGGACAUGUUGAGGAUGAGAGCCAGGACAACCCUCAGGAACCUCUGCAGACGAUGGCUAUGCAAGGUGGCAGCAGAGGUGAGAAGCAUUGGGAUUCCAGAUACAGCUUGAGGACAGAGCCAACCCCAUGUAGUCUUGGAUGCCCCUUAUCUUUCAGUCCUUUGCUUCCAUCUCUCUUCUUUCCUGCUCCCAAGCCUGCUGUCUUCUCUUUCUCACUGCACUCUCUUCCUUGGUAAACUCGCUUACUUAGGUGGCUUACCUAUGCUCUCACAGCUAGGCAGGGAAGACUCCCCUUUUCUUCCACUUCUAAGACAACAUAGGUUCCAUAGGUAGAAUGCCAUGACCAGUCUUUCUAGCUCUUGAAUACAGUUUCAGACCAAGAACCCGGGUAGCUUUGUUCUCAACCCCUGAGCAAGCCAGCUCUGUCCUGUCCUAAAAACAGAACCAACUCUCUGGACUCCAGCUUAGAAUAAGGAAGACAAUACUUCACAGAGUGCAUUCUUAUUUACUAACCUAUUAUUUAGUUAGACUCCAACAACAACCCUGAGAUAUAGGGAAGGCAGGAAGAAUUACAUCCUCUCAGGAAUUAGUAAACUAAUAGAUUGAGUGACUCAUCCAAGGAUGAUGUCAGUGAGCAGUGGGGACAGGACUACAGCUCAAAUCUGCUGGUUCCCAUCAACAAUACCUGCUUUCCAGUCCCUAGAAUCCCAGACCCUUUUCACAACAAGGAGUCUCAUAAAGCAGAAAUAAGAGCACCCCAGUUUUCUGUGCAUUCUGGCAACGAAGUAAUUGUGAAACUGAGACAUCUUCUCAGGACUGCUCCACAUUGCCCUGGAGCUCAGGCUCAGCUGGAGUCCCCGAUAAAGCUCCCAGUGAGGGCGCCCCUUCCUCCUGCAGUUCUGUGAGAAGAGUAAAACCCUGCCAGCCCGGAUGUGAGACUAUCUUGCCAUUGACAGGUCUCCUUCCCCCAGGGUACUCUUCAUUUUGCUAUUAACUGAGGGAAAUGAGAUAGCAGCUCAAGUUUUACACCAUGAGUUGAGAGUACAGACGUGCCGCUGUGUGGUGGAGCCGGAUGCUCUGUGGUCGGUAAUGGCCUUCAAACUGAAUGGAUAAUGAAGGCUGACUAAGAUGCUAAGCUUAGGCUAUAAUUAAUUUAGAAUUUGAAAUGGGGAGAAACCUUGGUUGUUUCAAGCUAGUCAAACCAGAGGCUGCCUUAGGGCAGUGAUUCCUUCUCACAUUCCCAUUAAAACCAUGUACCUAUAAAAAGGUAGCUCCAUGUCACCACAGUGGUAACCCUUCUCUGUGACUCAUUUCCCAUUAUGAGCACAAUUAGCAUGCAGCAUGUGUCCUGGGAGAUUAAUGAUCCGCUGGAGGGAAGAAAGAGGAACUUGGGGAAUGGAUCUGGGUGUAGUCAGAGCUCGCCUCUCCCUAGGAGCUGCCUUGGUGCUGUAAAGGAUCUCAUGUCUUUUGCCAGCUUCGAUGAAACUUGUUAGUUGGAAAGCAGAGUGAAAUCUCAGGCUCUACAAUUCUUGACAUAAGAAAACGGAGGCUCCCAGAGAUUUGACAACGUGCCCACAGCAAUGACCAAAUCAGACUUGGUGCUAGGUCUGCACCUCCCCAAAGCCAGCAUGUUUGUGCGCUCUGCUGCCACUGCCACCCGCUGGCCCAGCACAUGAUGUGAACCGUCACGCAGACCUGGAGUUCUGUCUCCUGGGUGGGCUGCUUGCCAACACCGGGGUGGCUGGCCCCUGCCUAUGUCAGGUGUUGCAGUGUUGACUCUCUUCGUGUGCUGUUGGGCAGGUGGAGCUGGUUGUGCUAAGCCCGAGAAAACAUCCAAUGUGCCAAACUUUCCUUCUGCUGGUUAUUUAGUAAGCCCAGGAAAAGAACAAAUCCUGCCCCAAACAGAUGAUCUUCUUGAGGAGAGUGGUUACGGCGAUGAUGCCAGCAUGCAGUGGGGAGAUUGGACUUUUCGAGAUUCUUCCAGCCCUUUGCUUCCCACAUUUCAUAACGCUUGAUGGUGACAGCUCUGCUGUUUGGGAAAAAGAUAAUACUUAUGUCGCUUUUAGAGACACUUUACUGAGUCCCUCUCGCAAUGCCUAUUAAGUAGAGAAAAUAGCAAAAUUAACCCGAUUUGCUCAUCACUCAGUUUUGGCCGUUAUCAACUAAUGGCCACUCUAGUUUCUACUGGGGUCCCAUAUACUCUGCCUGUUCCCUGAUUAUUUAGGUGCUGAUCUCAACAUUGUAUCCUUUUGAUGCAUUCCAAAGCAAAAAUAUUGAUUCCUAAGCUAUCCUUGUGAAUUUUCUGAUUCAGGAGGUCAGGAAUGGGGCCUGAGAAUCUACACAUAUUUUCGAUUCUCCAGGUCUGGGAAGCUACAGUGUAAAGGAAUGAGCAUGGACUUUACAGUAAAAAAGUCUGAGUUUGAGUCUUGGCUUUGCCCAAGCCUUAUAACUUUGGACGAAAACUUCAAGUUUUUGGACCUUGACCUCUUUGUCUUCGAGGAUCACCUACUCUGUGAACUUGUGGUCCACUAAGACCCUCCAACAUUUUUCACAUUAAAUACAUGCUAUCAAUCUUGUAUCUCUCAGCCUUCCCCUGCCUUGGUGUUAGGCUGGGGAUGGCGGCAGCAGGAUUACAUGUGAGUUAUCCUCCUUUGUGGUGUUUGCAUCCACAAGAUCUCUCCAAGCUGUGUUCCCUGUCUCCCAUGUGGUGUGUCCCAACACUGUGCCCCCUUUAGUCCCAUUCAAGCCUCCCUCAUGCUAUUUGCUCAAACCCACUGUGCCCAGCUCCCUGGGAAACUGAUGGGCAGAACCUAUCCCUGAACAGUAUUCUUCAAUCACAAAAUUCUUGCACCUAGAGUAAAACUGACAUUUGAUUCAGGUCAAUGAUCGUUUUUCCCAACCAAAACCAAAUCCUAAUUUCUGUGGUUGGCAUGCAUGCAGUCAUUUGGUGCUUAUGAAAAAGAAAGCAGGCUUCACUGAGUUGCAAAAACAAGAACUUUGCUGGCUUUUGGUGUGCUCAGCAUUUUUCUGAAUGAAGACGGCAACUCACAGUGAAUACAGCUUUUUUUUUUUUUUGGUUAUUUAAUUAAAUGGAGUUCAGAGGGAAGGAACAUAAAUAAACAAGACAAGCAAAUUGGGACGCACAUUUGAACUAGAAUGAGAAAAGAGCGGUUUCCUGAGGCGGAACACCUUCACAAUGGAGUACAGCUUUAUUUAGUACAACACUGCCCCUGCAAAUUGUGUCCUCAGUUGUUUUGGGGAGUUGAAUGUAACUUGUGCUUUCACAGCGACAACUAAUAGCAACGAAAGGCCCUAGGAAACGCACGGCUGCAAGAGACUGACUUACAGUGGGAAUUUGGGAAGCCAUGUGUUAGAACAAAAAGGAACUGCAACCACCUCAUUGUAUGCCUGAGAAACAGAAGCUGAGAUCUCAUUAUUUGCUCAAAGCUGCACAGCCAGUUGGCAGAAGAGCACAAACCAGCACCCUGGGUUCCUGACCAGUGCUCUUUCCAUGGAGAGGUUUAGGUGGUGGUUAGAAGCACAGACACCAGGACAGACUGCCUGGGUUCAGACCUCAGCUCUGUCCCUUCCUGGCUGGAAGAUCUUGUGCAAGAGUUAAAUCCCAUAGGGGCCGUAUCAGCCAGAGUUUCAGUAGGAAACAGAUGGAACACCAAAUUAGGGUCAUUGGAGGGGGUAUUUAUAAACGAUCAUUUUAAAGAUGUGGUUGGAGCAUGGGGAAAACACAGGCGCCAGUACAGGGACACAGGGCGAGCAGUGUUAGUGCUGUCCCCAGCACUGGGCCAGAAGGAACAAAGGGAGAGAGAGGCUGCAGAGCCUUGUUCUGAAAGCAGCCAUGUCCUCAGGUGGGGGAACCCAGACAGUUACCGUCAUCUUGUA